RNAcentral lists this ribosomal RNA (1199 nucleotides) under Escherichia coli. Its description in RNAcentral is "partial 23S ribosomal RNA". It matches the Rfam family "Bacterial large subunit ribosomal RNA", at positions 1 to 1239 of the family's 2925-position model. The record is from RNAcentral. Lineage: Bacteria; Pseudomonadati; Pseudomonadota; Gammaproteobacteria; Enterobacterales; Enterobacteriaceae. RNAcentral also lists the same sequence under 1 other name.
GGUUAAGCGACUAAGCGUACACGGUGGAUGCCCUGGCAGUCAGAGGCGAUGAAGGACGUGCUAAUCUGCGAUAAGCGUCGGUAAGGUGAUAUGAACCGUUAUAACCGGCGAUUUCCGAAUGGGGAAACCCAGUGUGAUUCGUCACACUAUCAUUAACUGAAUCCAUAGGUUAAUGAGGCGAACCGGGGGAACUGAAACAUCUAAGUACCCCGAGGAAAAGAAAUCAACCGAGAUUCCCCCAGUAGCGGCGAGCGAACGGGGAGGAGCCCAGAGCCUGAAUCAGUGUGUGUGUUAGUGGAAGCGUCUGGAAAGGCGCGCGAUACAGGGUGACAGCCCCGUACACAAAAAUGCACAUGCUGUGAGCUCGAUGAGUAGGGCGGGACACGUGGUAUCCUGUCUGAAUAUGGGGGGACCAUCCUCCAAGGCUAAAUACUCCUGACUGACCGAUAGUGAACCAGUACCGUGAGGGAAAGGCGAAAAGAACCCCGGCGAGGGGAGUGAAAAAGAACCUGAAACCGUGUACGUACAAGCAGUGGGAGCACAGAGCAAUCUGUGUGACUGCGUACCUUUUGUAUAAUGGGUCAGCGACUUAUAUUCUGUAGCAAGGUUAACCGAAUAGGGGAGCCGAAGGGAAACCGAGUCUUAACCGGGCGUUAAGUUGCAGGGUAUAGACCCGAAACCCGGUGAUCUAGCCAUGGGCAGGUUGAAGGUUGGGUAACACUAACUGGAGGACCGAACCGACUAAUGUUGAAAAAUUAGCGGAUGACUUGUGGCUGGGGGUGAAAGGCCAAUCAAACCGGGAGAUAGCUGGUUCUCCCCGAAAGCUAUUUAGGUAGCGCCUCGUGAAUUCAUCUCCGGGGGUAGAGCACUGUUUCGGCAAGGGGGUCAUCCCGACUUACCAACCCGAUGCAAACUGCGAAUACCGGAGAAUGUUAUCACGGGAGACACACGGCGGGUGCUAACGUCCGUCGUGAAGAGGGAAACAACCCAGACCGCCAGCUAAGGUCCCAAAGUCAUGGUUAAGUGGGAAACGAUGUGGGAAGGCCCAGACAGCCAGGAUGUUGGCUUAGAAGCAGCCAUCAUUUAAAGAAAGCGUAAUAGCUCACUGGUCGAGUCGGCCUGCGCGGAAGAUGUAACGGGGCUAAACCAUGCACCGAAGCUGCGGCAGCGACACUGUGUGUUGUUGGGUAGGGGAGCGU